Molecule: long non-coding RNA, 1634 nt
Filed under: Bemisia tabaci
Lineage: Eukaryota; Metazoa; Arthropoda; Insecta; Hemiptera; Aleyrodidae
Description: lncRNA ENSSSA2NGG013211
Source: RNAcentral
GCAUUGAUAAUGAGUGAUUUGAUAAUGUAAGUGGCCGAAGCCGAAAGAAAUGCUCGAGUCAUAGGUUAACAACACGCUCGGUGGAUUCUCAGUUGAGACUCGUUGAAUGUUGAUCAGUUGGACCGGUGUUUUGCCAGAGCCGUGCACGUUUUAGUAUCAGCUCGUAAUUUUUGUUCAGUCAUGGCUGCUGUGCGCAAAAUUAUCCAAUCGGCUGCCGCCCCGAAACCCGUCGGGCCUUACAAUCAAGCAGUCCUAAGUGGGAACACUUUGUACAUCUCCGGAGUGUUGGACUUAACCCUUCGUCAGGAAAACUUGUCGCAGGAGGAGCCAAAGAGCAAGCUACACAGAUUUUCAAAAAUAUGUCCGAAAUCUUGAAGGAAGCUGGCGGUGACUUUAAAAAUGUUGUCAAAACAACUAUUUUGCUGGCAGAUAUGGGUGACUUCUCCACUAUCAUGCAGUUUACUCAGAAAAUUUCAAAGAACCUUAUCCUGCUCGAUCGACUUUCCAAGUGGCAAAACUACCUCUCGUAAGUCUAUUCCUCUGAUUGUCCUUGAUAAACUUCGACUCGAUAAAAUCUCAAAACAAAAAUGUCAACGAGAAAUCGUAGCAUUUUAUGAAACCGACAUUUUUAUAGUUGGUUGUUGCUCUUGGCAAAGUUUGACCUAUAUAACGAACUAUUCUGAGUUUUAUCUGUUCGAGUCGUAGUUUUCCUCUGAAAUCAUACAAUAUUAGAUCAAACUCAUCAUUUUUUCAAAGCUGUGAGGAAAAAUGUAAUUUUUCAUCUGAUUAUUUGCGCUUGGAUCCGUCAGUUAACGAUAAGGAGGACUGCAUUUUGCAAUUAGGAACUACAAUCUCUGGUUCAUCCGUAAAAACAUUAUGUCCAUAGAAAGUAAUGGUACUACAUGCGUUAUUUUUAAAUUGAGCUAGAAAUUAUAGUUCCCAAUUGCAAAGUGAAGUCCAUUUAUCAUCACGGUAGGGAUCGAUGAAUUGUGUAAGGACUGAAUCAAAGUUAGCACCGAUUCGAUGGGUCAAAGUUGAAAUCGGCAAUGCAGAGCAACGAUUGCACAAACUGCUGGACUAUGUUGUAACAAACUUUUAAGUGCAAUCGCGAUGAACGUAUCCGAGUUUUUCUAUUCGCACUCAUUCUCUGUGCCUUUAAAAUUCUAAAAGAUAUCGCAGCAAAGAAAUAUAGGAGAUAGGCAAUCCAUUAAAAUUAUUUUAUUACAAUGCUAUCUGUUCAAGCAGUGUUUAUUGCACAUUCGUUUUUCGCACUAUAUUCGGAAUAUCUGAAUGUUCCGUAGGAAUCUCGACCAUUGCAUUCUCAUCUUUUUUCUGAUCGGGGCCAAAACUUCCUAUCAUCAGUUGACGUGCUGACGAUAACCGGAAAAAACUAAAACGGAGUAUUGAAAAAGUUCUACGGAAAUUUCUCCACAUGAGAUCCAUUGCAUCCCGGAUAAUGUAGUUGACAAAACUUUAAACAGGCGGACGUCUUGAAAUGGGGUUGGGCGUCUUCUCAAACAUAAAACAUUCUCUGAUUAACUUUUUCCGUCUUCCAAACAAACUCAACCUGUGGAAGAUAUCUUGCUCCUGGGAACUUUUCUCAGUUUCAUAAUCUUUGAGAUUACAUUGGGGGG